UGGCGGUGCAGUGGGCAGCAAACUCGCGAGGGUGAGCUAAUCUCCAAAAGCCGUCUCCGUUCGGAUUGUUCUCUGCAACUCGAGAGCAUGAAGGCGGAAUCGCUAGUAAUCGCGGAUCAGCAUGCCGCGGUGAAUACGUUCCCAGGCCUUGUACACACCGCCCGUCACACCAUGGGAGUUGGUUUCACCCGAAGGCAGUGCGCUAACCGCAAGGAGGCAGCUGACCACGGUGGGAUCCAGCGACUGGG
RNAcentral lists this ribosomal RNA (248 nucleotides) under alpha proteobacterium B712. RNAcentral's name for it is "partial 16S ribosomal RNA". It matches the Rfam family "Bacterial small subunit ribosomal RNA", at positions 1231 to 1479 of the family's 1533-position model. Lineage: Bacteria; Pseudomonadati; Pseudomonadota; Alphaproteobacteria. The record is from RNAcentral.